Molecule: long non-coding RNA, 1450 nt
Organism: Beta vulgaris subsp. vulgaris (sugar beet)
Lineage: Eukaryota; Viridiplantae; Streptophyta; Magnoliopsida; Caryophyllales; Amaranthaceae
Exons: 2
Source: RefSeq, a predicted model, not a curated record
AAUUGUAUUCUCCCUCAAUGUAGUUGAGGUGUCAAAAUACAUCAACAUUUCAAGCUCUUCUCUCUCCUUUUCUCAGUCAUCGUGUCAAAAGAAAAUGAGGGCAUCAAAACUCAAAUCCUUGAGUUGUCAAAUUUCCAAUGCUUAAUCUGAUGCUUAAGUUUGUAACUAGCAAAUCCAUCUCAAAUUCUUCUUAUUGAGCACUAGAAAAUUAAAGAAACCCCAAUUCUCAGUUUUCAUUCUCGCAUCCUCGCACUCACUCAAAUUGUUUGUGCCGUUAAGCUUUCGACGCUGUCGUCGGGUCUCACCGGAAGUCUGCAGGUGCUAUUGCGGGCUGGGCUGCUGUCCUCCUUCCUUUUUUCAUCAGUUUUGUCGGUGUUGUCCCAGUUAUUCCACUGUUGCUGCAGCAUUUUUCUCUCCUCUGCUUUCGCAGUGCUGCUGCCGCUGCCGUGCUGCCGCCACCAGCGUUCUGCUGGUGUUGUCGGUGUUGCUCUGCGUGGUGGUGUUGUGUCAGCUUGCUGCUGCCGUUGUACUGUACUUCUCUCGUUUAUAAGCAUAAGCUAAGUUUCUUCAUUCUCUUGUUGAUUCAAGGAAUUCAACUCCUUGCAAAGGGGUUUUAUAUUCUGAUUUUAUAAAUAAGUUCAGUUUUGAAUCUUAUUGUUGAAUAGCAAAAUCAGUUUUGUUGCAAGAUAAUAUCAUCUAAGCUAAACUUAUCCAACUAUAUUUAUUUAUGAAAACCUAAAUUAAUUAGUUUAUGUAUCUAUUAUUAUUAUUCUGAUUUGAAGAUAUAAACGAGAUUCUUGUUAAUGACUUUAUCAUGGUAUGAAUUUCUUAAUCAAUUUCAUAAUUUUAAAGUGGAGAUUUUAGUGAUUAAUUACUCAGAUGGUCUUAGUUAUGAUAUUGGAAUAAGUUUAAGGAGGGAUUGGUAUCAAAGGGUUUUAUUAGAAUAUCUUAUGUUGUUGAUAAUUGUUGGUAUCAUUUAGAAAAUCAUAAUUAGCUCAUAAGGUUUAAGAUUGAUUAUUAUCUAUUUGAAGGAUGGUAAUUGAAUAAGAUUAGUUUGAGAAUUGUUGUUAAUUAUGCUAUUUUGUUGAGGUGAUUAUUGUGGAGUUCGAGUUGGAGUUGAAGAUCCAGAUUAUCAUAAAUGUUCAUGGAGGUUGCAUAUAGUUGUUCUUGAGUUGAGGUUUGUGUUGGGAGCUCAUAGUGGAUCGAAAGUAAAGAGUUGGUCAUUAAAUUGUAGAUGUCCUAGUGAUUCAAAGGUUGUAUUUGGAAGUAUUCAAGUUCUUAGUAAAGAGUUUAAUAUUCUAUUGUUUUGGGAAUCGAGUAAGGUAUUAUGUAAUGUGUUAUUUAGUUUUGAAGUAAUUAUGUUAUGGGCCUAUAACCCACAGGUCCAGGAUCGUUUUAUAGUUAUGGUUUCCGCUGCGAGUGAAUAUAAUUCGAGAUUAUUAAGCGUUAA